Molecule: ribosomal RNA, 447 nt
Filed under: uncultured bacterium
Lineage: Bacteria
Description: SSU rRNA
Rfam family: Bacterial small subunit ribosomal RNA
Source: RNAcentral
AGAGCGAACGCUGGCGGCAGGCCUAACACAUGCAAGUCGAGCGGCCGUAGCAAUACGGCAGCGGCAGACGGGAUAGUAACACGUGGGAACGCGCCCUUCGGUUCGGAAUAACUCAGGGAAACUUGAGCUAAUACCGGAUACGCCCUUACGGGGAAAGAUUUAUUGCCGAAGGAACGGCCCGCGUCCGAUUAGCUAGUUGGUGAGGUAAUGGCUCACCAAGGCUACGAUCGGUAGCUGGUCUGAGAGGAUGACCAGCAUCACUGGGACUGAGACACGGCCCAGACUCCUACGGGAGGCAGCAGUGGGGAAUAUUGGACAAUGGGCGCAAGCCUGAUCCAGCCAUGCCGCGUGGAUGAUGACGGCCUUAGGGUUGUAAAGCUCGUUUUAACGGGGAAGAUAAUGACGGUACCCGUAGAAUAGCCCGGCUAACUUCGCGCCAGCAGCCGC